GGGCGGUAGCUCAAUUGGUAGAGCGUCGCGUUCGCAAUGCGAAGGUAGUGGGUUCGACCCCCAUCCGCUCC
This 71-nucleotide transfer RNA is filed under the name marine eukaryotic metagenome. It matches the Rfam family "tRNA". From Rfam's summary of the family: Transfer RNA (tRNA) molecules are approximately 80 nucleotides in length. Their secondary structure includes four short double-helical elements and three loops (D, anti-codon, and T loops). Further hydrogen bonds mediate the characteristic L-shaped molecular structure. tRNAs have two regions of fundamental functional importance: the anti-codon, which is responsible for specific mRNA codon recognition, and the 3' end, to which the tRNAs corresponding amino acid is attached (by aminoacyl-tRNA synthetases). tRNAs cope with the degeneracy of the genetic code in two manners: having more than one tRNA (with a specific anti-codon) for a particular amino acid; and 'wobble' base-pairing, i.e. permitting non-standard base-pairing at the 3rd anti-codon position. The record is from RNAcentral.